This 47-nucleotide non-coding RNA is filed under the name Stygamoeba regulata. The record is from RNAcentral. Lineage: Eukaryota; Discosea; Stygamoebida.
CGGAAGGCAGCAGGCCUGGUGGACUCGGUUGUGUGCGGGACGUUGGU